Non-coding RNA from Meleagris gallopavo (turkey), 3116 nucleotides. The record is from RefSeq and is a predicted model, not a curated record. NCBI's taxonomy places the organism in Eukaryota, Metazoa, Chordata, Aves, Galliformes, Phasianidae.
UCAUUUCUCUGUUUGACAGGCAUUCGAUCAGUGAGCUUCUAUGAACACAUCAUCACAGUGGGAACAGGGCAUGGUUCAUUACUGUUUUAUGAUAUCAGAGCCCAGAGGUUCCUGGAUGAAAGGCCCCCACGUGCCUGCUAUGGACAGAAGCAGAAAUUAGGAGGAAGUGAAAUUCUGAAGCUGACUACAGGGAAAGGUUGGCUGAAUCAUGAUGAAACCUGGAGGAAUUAUUUUUCUGAAAUUAAUUUCUUCCCAAAUGCUGUUUACACCCACUGCUACGACUCAUCUGGAACAAAGCUCUUUGUGGCAGGCGGCCCUCUUCCUUCAGGACUUCACGGGAAUUACGCUGGUCUCUGGAGCUAAUGAUAACUCUUUACAAAUGCUGAUCCUUACGCAGUUUUCUACUUUCUUUUCCUUUGUUUUAACAUUGAAUGAAAUUGUGUGAUGCCAUUGAAUUUUGGUUUAAAUGCAAGUUAUUUUUUUGUCAGAGUUUUCUGUUGGCUUUCAGCAGAGCUCCAACAUCUCUUUGAACCAGUUGUUUGUUUUAAUCUCCUUGAUCCUUUAUAUGAUGGGCAUUUGAUAUCUGUUUUUAUUUUAUUUACUCCAAAUGACUCCCCACAUUUAGGUUAUCUUGGCCACAUGCCCCCUCCCCUACUUUGCUGCGAGGUAGGAUUCCUUUCUAAUAGAGUGGUUGCUCCUGCACUUUCUGUGAAAGUCUGGGGGCUGUGUGUGUGCAGGUACUUUUUGUCAGUUACAUUACCUGGAGUGAGGACUACUUGUAAUUAAAAAAUAUUAAAAAUAUUUAUAAGAGAUAAGCUACUUUAUCUGCAGAGCCUGGCCCUGGCCUGGGUUGAUCUUAUUUUUUAAAAGUACAAGUCUAAUGAUUCUGUUUAUAUGUAAAGGAAUACAGUAAUUUUAAGCUGUACUCAUUGGAGCCCAGGGAUAGACUCCCCAGGGGUAUUACCCAUCAAGCCCAAACUGCAGAAGCACAGGAGUUCUCAAAAGUGCAUUUACAUUUUAAUUGUAGUUUUCAGCAGUGCCAGGAGCAAAAACAUGAUCUUCUGUUCCUGUAUUUGAUCCAGGUAUCAGCUUGCACAGCUGGAGUUUGAACAGGCUGUUCUGCAGUGUGGCUGUUGUAGAAUAACAUUACAUUGAGGGGCCUGCAGUGGUGAUGAAAGGAAAUGGGGGCUAGGGAUACGAGUUUUAAUGACAAGAAAAAAUGAACUAAACUAUUUUCCAAGCAAGCCAAGGUUCCCAAGUAUGCUGCUGUGGUAGCUCAUGGGUUAUUUUCAGACAGUCUAAAGCCCAGGUUUUUGUCCCAGGUUAUAGAAUUUUUUUUCCAUUUUAUAUCUGUUCUGGUUGCUAGGGUUGUUAGCUAUCUGCUCUCAUAAGCUAAUGGAAUAAAGAAACUAUUUUUUCCUCUAAGGUUAAAGAGCGUGUCUCAGACUUGUCUAACGCAGGCUAAAAGCUUACACAUAGCAAGGUAACUUGCUGUUAGCUCAUGUUGCGUUAGUAUCCGCUGUCAUCUAGCUUGCAGCAGGAGGUGUUCAGUCUUUCCCCAGACUCCCCUACUGCCUUCUCUGUUUGAACUCCCUUGGAUUUUACUUGAGACUGUGGGUGGGGAGAACAGAUCCAGUGCCUUUUGGGUCCAGCUGUGAAGUGUAUGCACUUAGGUAUGGUGAUCUUAUCUAAUACUAGGCUAAAAUGCAGGGCUCCAGAGUGCUACUCCUGGCCUUCCAGCAGGCACCAGGAACUCUUGCCUUGUUACCAUCUUCUGCUGGAAUGAAUGCUGGAGCAGAGUGCAUGCCUUGGCCUCACUGCUUUGGUGCCAAAUGAGCAGUUGAAGCUGAGGAGAAAAGGCAAGACUGGGACAUGCUCUUUUCUUCUAUCUCUGCUGGAGAUUACAGCUGCCAUGGUAGAGUGACUCUAGUUUCUGCAAGAGUUCCUGCCAGAUUUAUCAGAGCUACUUACCACAGUCUGAUUGCGUCCUUACAGUCCCUCUUGUCUUUGUGCGCAGCAUCUCCAUCAAUAAUGCCAAGUAGUGAGACCCUGACUUACAUCUUUUGCUGAUGGGAUUACACAAUGUAAUAGUGUGUUCCUGAGGGGGGGAAACAGGCUGGUUUAUCUGGCAUUAGGCAGCAAGGAUGGAAGGUAACUAAUUGUAGCAGACCUUCAGUCCUCUCUUCCUGCUAUUCAACUUUUCAGGAAUAUGGGAUCUCGUGCUGCUAUUGAUUGUAGGAAGCUGUUCAUUUUACUUCUUGCCUCUUUUAAGUAGACUACAUUUUUCAUAUUUAUAAUCACAUGCAAUCAAACUAUUGAAUUUUAUGUUCAGUAAUGCCCAGUUUGCAGUACUGGGAAACAAGCCCUAAACAACAAUCAAGUGUUAAGUAACAGACAUUCCCAUGGAAACUGAAGCUACAAUGCUUGAGCAUAGCAUUGUUGGUGAUGCCCACUCUCUUCACAGACACCUUGUUCCUGGUCAUUCCUCCAGCCUUCCCUGUUGUACUGUCAGCUCAGCCAAGGAGAAGUGCUACUGUUCUCCCAAGGUGUUUUCUGGGACUGUUGUAAAUCACUGAGUCCAUUGUAUUGUCCCUUCAUCAGUGCUACUGGUGUUAGUCCAAGGUGAGUAAAUUACCAAAGAAUAGUAAAUAGAUGUUUGUUCAUAGUCUCAAUUGUUCAUUUUCCACAUAGAUCCAUUUAAAAAUACUUUGGAAGAGUGCCCAGAGACGUGACCAGAUUUAGUCUAUUCACAAAGGUUACAUUCGUAUUGUGAGUGAUUCUUGUGACUCCCUUAAUGAGGGAGACUUCUGAAUUUUAUUAUGGGGAUAUUUGUGCUGCCUCUGUUUGAGGUCUUUGGCAGCAUUUUUGUAUUUUAAGGAUUAAGAUAAUUGUGUAUCAGUUACUCUUCUGUAGAAUUUCAAUCUCUUUCUUCACUUGAGCACUUGCUUUGUGUAUAGCUUGCAGCUGCAGAGUUACAUAAUUAAAGUUGUGUUCCAUCUAUAUUGAGUGGUGGUUUGGUGUCUUACUUUUUGCCCAUCAGCGGUGAGGGACUGACCUUGUGAUGAACAGAUUUCCCUCACCUGGUGCAAAUGUAAAAUAAAGUAGGCUUAUCUAGA